AUUGAACGCUGGCGGCAGGCUUAACACAUGCAAGUCGAGCGGAGCGAGGGUGCUUGCACCUUAGCUUAGCGGCGGACGGGUGAGUAAUGCUUAGGAAUCUGCCUAUUAGUGGGGGACAACAUUCCGAAAGGAAUGCUAAUACCGCAUACGCCCUACGGGGGAAAGCAGGGGAUCUUCGGACCUUGCGCUAAUAGAUGAGCCUAAGUCGGAUUAGCUAGUUGGGGGGGUAAAGGCCUACCAAGGCGACGAUCUGUAGCGGGUCUGAGAGGAUGACCCGCCACACUGGGUCUGGGACACGGCCCAGACUCCUACGGGAGGCAGCAGUGGGGAAUAUUGGACAAUGGGCGGAAGCCUGAUCCAGCCAUGCCGCGUGUGUGAAGAAGGCCUUUUGGUUGUAAAGCACUUUAAGCGAGGAGGAGGCUACUUAGAUUAAUACUCUGGGAUAGUGGACGUUACUCGCAGAAUAAGCACCGGCUAACUCUGUGCCAGCAGCCGCCGUAA
RNAcentral lists this ribosomal RNA (501 nucleotides) under uncultured bacterium. RNAcentral's name for it is "partial 16S ribosomal RNA". It matches the Rfam family "Bacterial small subunit ribosomal RNA", at positions 30 to 523 of the family's 1533-position model. The record is from RNAcentral.